CACAGGGAUCCCCUAGUACGGCGAGUGAAGCGGGAACAGCUCAAAUUUGAAAUCUGGCCCUCGGGUCCGAGUUGUAAUUUGUAGAGGAUGCUUUUGGUGCGGUGCCUUCCGAGUUCCCUGGAACGGGACGCCUUAGAGGGUGAGAGCCCCGUACGGUUGGACGCCUAGCCUCUGUAAAGCUCCUUCGACGAGUCGAGUAGUUUGGGAAUGCUGCUCUAAAUGGGAGGUAUAUUUCUUCUAAAGCUAAAUACUGGCCAGAGACCGAUAGCGCACAAGUAGAGUGAUCGAAAGAUGAAAAGCACUUUGAAAAGAGGGUUAAAUAGCACGUGAAAUUGUUGAAAGGGAAGCGUUUAUCACCAGACUUUUUCUAGGGGGAUCAUCCGGUGUUCUCACCGGUGCACUUCCCCUGGUUGAGGCCAGCAUCGGUUUUCGGAGGGGGAUAAAAGCUUCGGGAAUGUGACUCCCUCGGGAGUGUUAUAGCCCGUUGCAUAAUACCCUUCUGGGGACCGAGGUUCGCGCAUCUGCAAGGAUGCUGGCAUAAUGGUGAUCAACGACCCGUCUUGAAACACGGACCAAGGAGUCGAACAUUUAUGCGAGUGUUUGGGUGUCAAACCCUCACGCGUAAUGAAAGUGAACGGAGGUGAGAGCCCUUACGGGUGCAUCAUCGACCGAUCCUGAUGUCUUCGGAUGGAUUUGAGUAAGAGCAUAACUGUUCGGACCCGAAAGAUGGUGAACUAUGCGUGGAUAGGGUGAAGCCAGGAGAAAUCCUGGUGGAGGCUCGCAGCGGUUCUGACGUGCAAAUCGAUCGUCAAAUCUGCGCAUGGGGGCGAAAGACUAAUCGA
Molecule: ribosomal RNA, 842 nt
Filed under: Nigrospora sphaerica
Lineage: Eukaryota; Fungi; Ascomycota; Sordariomycetes; Amphisphaeriales; Apiosporaceae
Description: eukaryotic LSU rRNA
Rfam family: Eukaryotic large subunit ribosomal RNA
Source: RNAcentral